RNAcentral lists this ribosomal RNA (487 nucleotides) under uncultured bacterium. RNAcentral describes it as "partial 16S ribosomal RNA". It matches the Rfam family "Bacterial small subunit ribosomal RNA", at positions 28 to 507 of the family's 1533-position model. The record is from RNAcentral.
GACGAACGCUGGCGGCGUGCUUAACACAUGCAAGUCGAACGGAAAGGCCCCCAUCUUGGUGGGGGUGCUCGAGUGGCGGACGGGUGAGUAACACGUGGUUGAUCUGCCCUGUAGUUCGGGAUAAGCUUGGGAAACUGGGUCUAAUACCGGAUAGGACCAUGGUUUAGUGUCUCAUGGCGGAAAGAUUGUUGUUUUGUUGCAGGAUGGGCUCGCGGCCUAUCAGCCUGUUGGUGGGGUAAUGGCCUACUAAGGCGUCGAGGGGUAGCCGGACGGAGGGGGCGGACGUGCACAGUGGGACUGAGAUGCGGCCCAGGGUCCGAGGGGAGGCAGCAGUGGGGAAGAGAAGACAAUGGGGGGAAGCCUGAAGCAGCGACGCCGCGUGGGGGAUGCCGGGCCGCGUGUGGUAAGCUCCCCUCGUUAUUGUCGAGGUCUCGUUUUUGGGGUGUGGUGACGGGACCUGGGUGAAGAAGCACCGGCUAACUACGUG